UCUGGGACAAGCCCUGGAAACGGGGUCUAAUACCGGAUAACACUCCCGCACUCCUGUGCGGGGGUUAAAAGCUCCGGCGGUGAAGGAUGAGCCCGCGGCCUAUCAGCUUGUUGGUGAGGUAAUGGCUCACCAAGGCGACGACGGGUAGCCGGCCUGAGAGGGCGACCGGCCACACUGGGACUGAGACACGGCCCAGACUCCUACGGGAGGCAGCAGUGGGGAAUAUUGCACAAUGGGCGAAAGCCUGAUGCAGCGACGCCGCGUGAGGGAUGACGGCCUUCGGGUUGUAAACCUCUUUCAGCAGGGAAGAAGCGAAAGUGACGGUACCUGCAGAAGAAGCGCCGGCUAACUACGUGCCAGCAGCCGCGGUAAUACGUAGGGCGCAAGCGUUGUCCGGAAUUAUUGGGCGUAAAGAGCUCGUAGGCGGCUUGUCACGUCGGGUGUGAAAGCCCGGGGCUUAACCCCGGGUCUGCAUUCGAUACGGGCUAGCUAGAGUGUGGUAGGGGAGAUCGGAAUUCCUGGUGUAGCGGUGAAAUGCGCAGAUAUCAGGAGGAACACCGGUGGCGAAGGCGGAUCUCUGGGCCAUUACUGACGCUGAGGAGCGAAAGCGUGGGGAGCGAACAGGAUUAGAUACCCUGGUAGUCCACGCCGUAAACGGUGGGAACUAGGUGUUGGCGACAUUCCACGUCGUCGGUGCCGCAGCUAACGCAUUAAGUUCCCCG
Molecule: ribosomal RNA, 722 nt
Filed under: Actinomycetes bacterium
Lineage: Bacteria; Bacillati; Actinomycetota; Actinomycetes
Description: bacterial SSU rRNA
Rfam family: Bacterial small subunit ribosomal RNA
Source: RNAcentral